GACGAACGCUGGCGGCGUGCCUAAUACAUGCCAGUUGAGCGCUGAAGGUUGGUACUUGUACCAACUGGAUGAGCAGCGAACGGGUGAGUAACGCGUGGGGAAUCUGCCUUUGAGCGGGGGACAACAUUUGGAAACGAAUGCUAAUACCGCAUAAAAACUUUAAACACAAGUUUUAAGUUUGAAAGAUGCAAUUGCAUCACUCAAAGAUGAUCCCGCGUUGUAUUAGCUAGUUGGUGAGGUAAAGGCUCACCAAGGCGAUGAUACAUAGCCGACCUGAGAGGGUGAUCGGCCACAUUGGGACUGAGACACGGCCCAAACUCCUACGGGAGGCAGCAGUAGGGAAUCUUCGGCAAUGGACGAAAGUCUGACCGAGCAACGCCGCGUGAGUGAAGAGGGGUUUCGGAUCGUAAAACUCUGUUGGUAGAGAAGAACGUUGGUGAGAGUGGAAAGCUCAUCAAGUGACGGUAACUACCCAGAAAGGGACGGCUAACUACGUG
RNAcentral lists this ribosomal RNA (497 nucleotides) under uncultured bacterium. RNAcentral describes it as "partial 16S ribosomal RNA". It matches the Rfam family "Bacterial small subunit ribosomal RNA", at positions 28 to 507 of the family's 1533-position model. The record is from RNAcentral.